Mytilus californianus (California mussel) is the source of this 916-nucleotide long non-coding RNA. RefSeq lists it as uncharacterized. Lineage: Eukaryota; Metazoa; Mollusca; Bivalvia; Mytilida; Mytilidae. The transcript has 2 exons. The record is from RefSeq and is a predicted model, not a curated record.
GUAACACAGAGAUUGAUUUUCUCGCUGAUCAUGCAUUCAUUAUUUUAUUCUAUCGUAACUCGUGCAGUUUCGAAGAGUCCCCUAAUAACAGAUAUGAAUAUAAAUGAAUAUAAUAAGAUACGGACCAAAGUAUUGAAAGUCCUAAAAAGAGGUCACCUGGCAUCAUCAAUUACAGAACAGAAACAUAAUGAAAACGAAUUUAUACUACAUAAACUAGUAAAGAGAGCAUGCAUUGGAAUAGAAGAAAUGUGUGGAUGAACCGGUACACUGCAGGGAGUUUCAUCUCCUUUGGAGACGAUAAUUUCGAACUAUACAAGCCAAUACGUGUCCAUCCGAUUUUGAAAGAAGUAUUGAUGCAGUCCUCUUUUAUCUCGACGCACAACGGUUUGCAAUUAUGAGGAUAUAUUACUGUACAAUAACCGUUACGGAUUUGAUAUAGUCCAUACUUUUCCAUGCGUUACCAAUUCGAAAAAGUCCUGUUUGCGCUAGCAGUUGAAGGAUUUUUUUACAGUGUGAAAUAAACAUUGGUCUACGAGAAUAAUAAAUAAUCGAAAAAUAGAUAGACAAACCAGCAAUCAGAGUUUCCAAGGCAUUUAUUUCACCAGCCAAUGAAAUUGCAGCCUUCAAAUUUUUCAAGGCGUGUAUCAAUACGACAAAACCAGAGGAUCCCAAAAGGUUUUUAAAACAGAAAGUAGAGUGGACAGUUGUCAGAUCCUUGUAAGCGAAGCGUGGACACAGAAUCAGUAUUUCAAUCAGAUUGUGUAGAGUGUUGACUAUUAGUUUUGAUACGAUGUAAACGUGUGAUGUAGACAAAAUAGAAUGACAAUGUUAUAGUGAUAUUGAUAUUUGAUAAAUUAGAAUUCGUAGAAGAAGAACAUAACAGCUCGAUAUUUAAGUAAAAAUACAAAACUUUAAA